This 497-nucleotide ribosomal RNA is filed under the name uncultured bacterium. RNAcentral's name for it is "bacterial SSU rRNA". It matches the Rfam family "Bacterial small subunit ribosomal RNA", at positions 404 to 916 of the family's 1533-position model. The record is from RNAcentral.
AAGGAUGAAGUAUUUCGGUAUGUAAACUUCGAAAGAAUAGGAAGAAUAAAUGACGGUACUAUUUAUAAGGUCCGGCUAACUACGUGCCAGCAGCCGCGGUAAUACGUAGGGACCAAGCGUUGUUCGGAUUUACUGGGCGUAAAGGGCGCGUAGGCGGCAAUUCAAGUCAUCUGUGAAAUCUCCGGGCUUAACUCGGAACGGUCAGAUGAUACUGCUUUGCUAGAGUGCAGAAGGGGCAAUCGGAAUUCUUGGUGUAGCGGUGAAAUGCGUAGAUAUCAAGAGGAACACCUGAGGUGAAGACGGGUUGCUGGGCUGACACUGACGCUGAGGCGCGAAAGCCAGGGGAGCAAACGGGAUUAGAUACCCCGGUAGUCCUGGCCCUAAACGAUGGAUACUUGGUGUCUGGAGUCAUUAUUGCUCCGGGUGCCGUCGCUAACGUUUUAAGUAUUCCGCCUGGGGAGUACGCACGCAAGGCUGAAACUUAAAGGAAUUGACGG